This 776-nucleotide ribosomal RNA is filed under the name uncultured bacterium. RNAcentral describes it as "bacterial SSU rRNA". It matches the Rfam family "Bacterial small subunit ribosomal RNA", at positions 8 to 796 of the family's 1533-position model. The record is from RNAcentral.
AGAGUUUGAUCCUGGCUCAGAAUCAACGCUGGCGGCGUGCCUCAGACAUGCAAGUCGAACGAUUAAACUUUCCUUCGGGAGAGACAUAAAGUGGCGCACGGGUGAGUAACACGUAGGUAAUCUGCCUUUGAGUGGGGAAUAACGUUCGGAAACGAACGCUAAUACCGCAUAAUGCAGCGGCACCGCAAGGUGACAGUUGUUAAAGGAGCAAUCCGCUUAAAGAGGAGCCUGCGGCAGAUUAGCUAGUUGGUAAGGUAAUGGCUUACCAAGGCAACGAUCUGUAACCGACCUGAGAGGGUGGUCGGUCACACUGACACUGAAUAACGGGUCAGACUCCUACGGGAGGCAGCAGUCGGGAAUUUUGGGCAAUGGGCGAAAGCCUGACCCAGCAACGCCGCGUGAAGGAUGAAGUAUUUCGGUAUGUAAACUUCGAAAGAAUGGGAAGAAUCAAUGACGGUACCAUUUAUAAGGUCCGGCUAACUACGUGCCAGCAGCCGCGGUAAUACGUAGGGACCAAGCGUUGUUCGGAUUUACUGGGCGUAAAGGGCGCGUAGGCGGCGUGUUAAGUCAGCUGUGAAAUCUCCGAGCUUAACUCGGAACGGUCAGCUGAUACUGAUGUGCUAGAGUGCAGAAGGGGCAAUCGGAAUUCUUGGUGUAGCGGUGAAAUGCGUAGAUAUCAAGAGGAACACCUGAGGUGAAGACGGGUUGCUGGGCUGACACUGACGCUGAGGCGCGAAGGCUAGGGUAGCAAACGGGAUUAGAUACCCUGGUAGUCC